This is a long non-coding RNA of Passer domesticus (house sparrow), 3019 nucleotides long. RefSeq lists it as uncharacterized. The record is from RefSeq and is a predicted model, not a curated record. The transcript has 4 exons. NCBI's taxonomy places the organism in Eukaryota, Metazoa, Chordata, Aves, Passeriformes, Passeridae.
CUGUAAGAUGAGCAUGGUGGAGAUGCACAUGGAGGUCUGGUGUUAACCCCCUGCAUGCCGCAUGCUCCCCCUGGCUGCCGGGCCAAUAAAGAUGAUCUUCAGAAAAAAGCUGCAAAGGAUGAAAGCUGAGGACCAAAGGAACCUGGAGAAAUUAAUUGAAGAAGUGUGAAGACACCACGAGAAACCCUCCAGGGUAAAGAGAAUGGGCAGUGACACCAGAGCCAACAUGCAAAUGAGAAAUGCAUUGCACCCUGGGUUUUUUACAGUUUUACAGUUUUUACAAGAAAAACCCCUAAAAUCACGAGCCAACAAGUGACUUAAGUGACAUCUAAGGAUGGGAGCAUAGUCCCGUACCUUCUUGGACCUUUUUGUUUCUCACCCUAACCUGAAAAGAUACUGAUUAAAGAGACCCCCCGGGUUUUUAAACAAACAAGCUGAGGACUCUAGACUCUCCCGUGAGGACAGAGUCCCCAGCUCUGUCUGCAGACCAGUGGACAAAGCUGCAUCAUCCUCCUUCUUCGUGCCACGCCUGGGAGCAACGGCGGUGUGGGCGCAACCCGUCGAUUUCUCCCCGCCUGAGCUGAUUCUUCUUAAUAAAGGCAUUAAAAAGGAGAAAGAUCUCCUGCCCAUUUAUUUCAGCUUGGGGGACUCGUCUGGGAUAGCCACGCCUGAAGAGGACACCAGGACUGGGACGGCCGCCCACCCUGGACCUGCAGGACAGCUGGCUAUCGGGACCAGAGAAGAUCGGCUUGGGACAGUGACACGGAGCAGCGCCGGAUAGGUACUCCUCAUCACUAAUUCGUCUGUGCGAACCAGAGAAAAAGGUUGGACCCACAUCACGAGAAUUAAAGGACCAGUCCCACCCCCGAGCAUUGGACAAGAUUCUUCAGUGUCUCCCUCUGGUAUUGGACCAGAUUCUACACCACCCUCACACUCUAACUCAGGACAAGAUUCAACCGCAUCAGGAGUUAAUUCAGCUGAGUAUACUAUUAUAAAAGGACCAAAUGACUUAAAAUUGACAUUCAAAAAGACUGAUGAAGUGCAUAAGAAAAAGUUUAGAAUCAUAACAUGUCUUGAAGUGUUUUAAGAAAUUUGUAAAAGUUAAAAAUUGUUAAUAAGUAAUUCUGGUUAAGUCGUCCCAACUUAGUACCAAAGACCCCAGGUUAAUCUUCUCCAGAGUGCUCCCCUAGGAGAGACCAAAUUAGCAGGGACAGAUCAAGAGAGGUUUAACCAGAGGAGCAAGAGAUUCUAAAGAACUUGGAAACUUCUUCUCAGUAAAAUCCUUAAGAGGCAAGACCGGGUGGGCAGGCUGUGCAAGAUGACCCAUACCGGACUCUUGGGAAGGGUAGUAGUGAUGGCUCUGAUUGCUGGUGGUGCUCUGGAGAGCCCAGGAGAGCUGUGCAAUGAGUACUACCAACCUUUCUAUGAGAAAGAAGUAAGUUCCUUGCUGAGAGUCCACAACAAUUGUGUUAACCUCUCCCAAUUGAUCUUUUAUCAAGAGACUAAGAAAAUAUAUUGGAUGGCCCGGAACACUGCCACCUUUAGGCAGCCACUCCUGGGAGAGCACCCUGUAGGAGAAACCUGGUGGUGCUUUGAACAUGAUAGUACUAAAGCAAGCCUGGUAAAUCUGGUCAAAGGAAAAACUAUUUCUAAAUAUUGGGAGGGCACGACAAAAACUAAUAUCUUUCAAGAAACCCCUAAACACCUGUUUUGGGUCAAUGGUACCACAGCAUCCACUGAAUUGCCAAGAGGCUGGUCUAGUGGUGGCAUCAUUAGAAUUAUAAAACAAACUGUCUUUAUAAUACACAAAAAAUCUGGAUCAAGUUUAAGAGUUCCUAUAUAUGAGGAUUUAAGAAAAACAAAACUGAAGAAACGAUAUAUAUAUGUUAAACAAAAUUUUGAAACUACAAUCAGAAUUAGAAGUAAUAUCUAAUCAGACCACAUUAGCUCUUAAUCAUAUUAAUGACCAACUCAACCAAACCAAAACAGUAAUUUAUCAAAUCAAAUUAAUUGUAGCAGUCAUUAGAAACACUUUAAAUGAAAUAAAAAAACUAGCAUAUUUAAGAAAUCAAAAGACUCCUACACUUGAUUCCAGUUGGUGGGAUAAUCUAUGGACUUUCAAAAAAAGUUGGAAAACUAUAACCUUCACUGUGGGUACACUUGUUAGUCUGUUCUUAUUUCCCUGUUUAACAAAAAUAGUGACAUCUGUUGUACAGAAUAACCUAAGGAUCUCUAAAGAAAUUAACCUGAAAAAAACAAAAAAGGUAAUGAAGUUUGGUAAAUAUGAUCACCAGAGUGCUCAGGAAAUGUAUAAUCAAUACAAAAAAUAUAGGAAAUUCUAUGUCAAUGAGCCAAAAAUUAUAAGUUGAUGCAAGCUUAAGCUUAAGCCUGAUCAAAGAAAAAAAGGGGGGACUGUUAUGAAUAAAAAGCUAUCUGUUUUUUAAGGUUGCAGAGUUAAAAACAAGUCAGACCAGUUGUUGUAAGUGAGUUUCACUGCCAAAGAAAAGUUCUUCAAUUACCUGUUAAUGGCUGGUGAUUAACCACUGUCCCCCUGAUGCUGGCCGCUUGCCAGGGAAGGACACCGGGACAGACCCUCCAGGUACGAAGAGAAUAGGAGUGACAUCAGAGCCAGUAUGCAGAUGAGAAAUGCAUUGCGCCCCGAAUUUUUACAGUUUUUACAGGAAAACCCCCUAAAAUUACGAGCCAACAAGUGACCUAAGUGACGUCUAAGGAUGGGAGCGUAGUCCCGUACCUGCUUGGAUCCUUUUUGCUUCUCACCUUAACCUGAAAAUAUGUUGAUUAAAGAGACGCCCCGGGGUGUUAGACAAAAAAGCCAGGAAUCUGCUACUCUCCCAUGAGGACGGAAUCCCCAGCUCUGUCUGCAGACCAGCGGACGAAGCUGCAUCACCCUCCUCCUCUGUGCCACGCCUGGGAGCAACGGCGGCGUGGGCGCGACCUGUCAAUUUCUCCCCACCUGAGCUGAUUCUUCUUAAUAAAGGCAUUAAAAAGGAGAAAGAUC